This 492-nucleotide ribosomal RNA is filed under the name Pisanianura grimaldii. Its description in RNAcentral is "partial 16S ribosomal RNA". It matches the Rfam family "Bacterial large subunit ribosomal RNA", at positions 1845 to 2598 of the family's 2925-position model. The record is from RNAcentral. Lineage: Eukaryota; Metazoa; Mollusca; Gastropoda; Littorinimorpha; Laubierinidae.
AUAAGGAGUCGGACCUGCCCGGUGAAGAAAUUUAAACGGCCGCGGUACUCUGACCGUGCAAAGGUAGCAUAAUCAUUUGCCCUAUAAUUGAGGGCUAGUAUGAAUGGUUUGACAAGAAUAAAGCUGUCUCUUUAUAAUUAUAUAGAAUUUUAUCUUCAGGUGAAGAAGCCUGAAUAAAAUUAAAAGACAAGAAGACCCUAUCGAGCUUAAAAUAAGUUAAUAAGUUAAGAAUAAUAUUUGUUUAAAAAAAUAUUUAUUAAAAAUUUUGGUUGGGGCGACUAAGGAACAUAUAAAGCUUCUUUUAUAGCAAAUUACUGAUAAGUGUUGAUCCAAAAAAUUUUGAUUGAAAAAAUUAGUUACCGUAGGGAUAACAGCAUUAUCUUUUUUAAGAGUUCAUAUCGAAAAAAAGGUUUGUGACCUCGAUGUUGGACCAGAAUGUCCUAAAGAUGCAGAAGUCUUUAAGGGUUGGUCUGUUCGACCAUUAAAAUUCUA